CUCCAGACUCCUACGGGAGGCAGCAGUGGGGAAUAUUGCACAAUGGGGGAAACCCUGAUGCAGCGACGCCGCGUGGGCGAGGAAGUACCUCGGUAUGUAAAGCCCUAUCAGCAGGGAAGAAACAGGACAGUACCUGACUAAGAAGCCCCGGCUAACUACGUGCCAGCAGCCGCGGUAAUACGUAGGGGGCAAGCGUUAUCCGGAUUUACUGGGUGUAAAGGGAGCGUAGACGGUAUGGCAAGUCUGAUGUGAAAACCCGGGGCUCAACCCCGGGACUGCAUUGGAAACUGUCGGACUAGAGUGUCGGAGAGGCAAGUGGAAUUCCUAGUGUAGCGGUGAAAUGCGUAGAUAUUAGGAGGAACACCAGUGGCGAAGGCGGCUUACUGGACUGUAACUGACGUUGAGGCUCGAAAGCGUGGGGAGCAAACAGGAUUAGAUACCCCUGUA
RNAcentral lists this ribosomal RNA (447 nucleotides) under uncultured bacterium. RNAcentral's name for it is "bacterial SSU rRNA". It matches the Rfam family "Bacterial small subunit ribosomal RNA", at positions 329 to 792 of the family's 1533-position model. The record is from RNAcentral.